Hypomesus transpacificus is the source of this 1098-nucleotide long non-coding RNA. RefSeq lists it as uncharacterized. NCBI's taxonomy places the organism in Eukaryota, Metazoa, Chordata, Actinopteri, Osmeriformes, Osmeridae. The record is from RefSeq and is a predicted model, not a curated record. The transcript is spliced from 3 exons.
AUGUAAACAACAUGAAAGCACAGUAUGUUCUAGUCAAUUGAGGAAGUGGUUUUAUUCAGCAGACCUUGCACGCAAUCAUAAGUUAUCGGCUAGGCUGGGGCCGUACGGAGAGACACAUGGGAGUACUCUGUGUCACUGGAGAGCAGGUUCCUGUCGUAGCAGGGUCUGAUCAGCUCCGAGAAGGCAGUCAACGUGUCUGCUGGGGCCUUCCUUCUCUUACUUCUGUUCCUUCUCCUCCUUUGGCCAGGUGGGGCCCCUGCAACCAGCACAGGCUUGAAAGGGAACUUGUGGCGAUCUCUUUCAUGACAUUCUGCUGCAUAUAUAGUUACUGUAAAGAGAUCUCCUGCUGCUCAGAGAGAAUGGCCACUCAAGGGGAAAUUUGCAGGGUAUGGAGUGAGGAGUGGGGGAGUGAGGUUAGAUUGUACUAUCUGUAAUGUAAUUGUACUAUCUGUAUUUUUAGGUUAAAUUGUAAAUUAUGGCUACUAUUCCCCUUAGUAUUAGCUAGACCCCCCUUAGUAUUAGCUAAACUUUGCUCCUUUUGUAUAGUUAGUUUGUAUAGUUGUUUGUGCAAACAUUCAUGGCGAAUAAAAUCCCUUCUGUUUCUGAUAGAGGGUGGAGGAGAAGGAGGAGUAGGGUGGUAGUGUGGGGUUAAAGGGUGGAGGUGUACUGAAUUGAGACAGGUUUGAUACAUUUAUGCAAAUUGUUGACUAUCAGCUGUUUUAUCAACCCAAGGAGUGCAUGCAUGUUUGAGUUCAACUGUGUGCAAUUGACUUCAAUAAAAGGAAGUUUUCACAAAAGGAGUUCUUGGCGCAUUUUUCUGAAUAUGUGCUGGGGCUGUUGCAGUAAAAACCACAAUUUAGACGUUAGAGACAUAGGAAAGGGAACCGGAGUUGCAUUUAUCAUGGACGCAAAGAAACACCCUUCCUACACAACACUACCCUACGUUUACCAACCCUUGUGUGGCUUUUUCUGGAUCAAAGCCAAUUUUAUAUAAGUUGCCACCUUCAACACACACACACAAAUGGACCCACUCACACACACAAAUGGACCCACACACAUAUGACCACGCACACAGGCAAAGAGACCCACAUCCAAACU